CGCCCAGCACCCAGGAGGGCAGCGCGUAGACCGUGGCCUGGAAGGGGACGCAGAAGAGCAGGUCAGUUUUGCCCUACGUUUCUCAUGCGAGUGGCACAAACACAAGCAGCGACGAGACGUGUUUAGGAGGUGGAAAGAGCGCGCCUGGUGUUGCAUCCCUCUUGUGAACCGUGGCUACACCAGAAGCUGAGCGAGCUAGUGCCUUGACAGGAUGCGUCUGUAUUCACUUCCAAGAUGACCCCGUGUUUGCAGCGCUCCCCAAAUAAUGACUGAGUGUCCCUUAUGUGCCAGACGCAGCCAGGUCACACAAAGCUGAGCGGGGUGCACCGUAUCCUGCGGAUGUGAG
Long non-coding RNA from Lynx canadensis (Canada lynx), 346 nucleotides. RefSeq lists it as uncharacterized. NCBI's taxonomy places the organism in Eukaryota, Metazoa, Chordata, Mammalia, Carnivora, Felidae. The record is from RefSeq and is a predicted model, not a curated record. The transcript is spliced from 3 exons.